UACGAAGGGGGCUAGCGUUGCUCGGAAUUACUGGGCGUAAAGCGCGUGUAGGCGGACUUGUAAGUCGGAGGUGAAAUCCCGGGGCUCAACCUCGGAACUGCCUUCGAUACUGCAGGUCUGGAGCAUGUCAGAGGCGAGUGGAAUUGCGAGUGUAGAGGUGAAAUUCGUAGAUAUUCGCAGGAACACCAGUGGCGAAGGCGACUCGCUGGGACAUUGCUGACGCUGAGACGCGAAAGCGUGGGGAGCAAACAGG
This 253-nucleotide ribosomal RNA is filed under the name uncultured bacterium. RNAcentral describes it as "partial 16S ribosomal RNA". It matches the Rfam family "Bacterial small subunit ribosomal RNA", at positions 524 to 776 of the family's 1533-position model. The record is from RNAcentral.